Molecule: long non-coding RNA, 395 nt
Organism: Saccostrea cuccullata (small rock oyster)
Lineage: Eukaryota; Metazoa; Mollusca; Bivalvia; Ostreida; Ostreidae
Exons: 2
Source: RefSeq, a predicted model, not a curated record
UGUUAAACUGAUGUACGUUUCUCUUUGGUAUAAAGGACACGUGACACAGCCGCCAUGUUUCGAUGUGGUGCUCUAUUUCUUUUGUCUUAUCUUCAUGAUAAAGGCGCCAUGUCAAUAGGAAAGAAUAAGCUCAGGUUAUGUCAUAUAGCAAUCGGAAUUGCAGUUCUGAUGACAAGUCUUGUGGGUGGCUGCAGUGUGUGGAAUGAGGGGAAAUCGUGUAUGUGUGAAUGUGAAGACAUCUCUAUUGGCUGCAGGGCGAAGUGUUAUGGAUUGUGUAGCGGGGGAUGUCACGGAGCUGUGGAACUAAUCAACCAAAGACAUUGCUACGACAAUUGUCACCACGACUUUCAAUACUGCACAAACUCUUGUUAGGAAACAAGAAAUCAAGCAAAAUU